Molecule: transfer RNA, 87 nt
Filed under: Ilex aquifolium
Lineage: Eukaryota; Viridiplantae; Streptophyta; Magnoliopsida; Aquifoliales; Aquifoliaceae
Also listed under: 5 other names
Description: tRNA-Ser
Rfam family: tRNA
About the family: Transfer RNA (tRNA) molecules are approximately 80 nucleotides in length.
Source: RNAcentral
GGAUGGAUGUCUGAGCGGUUGAAAGAGUCGGUCUUGAAAACCGAAGUAUUGAUAGGAAUAUCGGGGGUUCGAAUCCCUCUCCAUCCG